Heterocephalus glaber (naked mole-rat) is the source of this 202-nucleotide small nuclear RNA. Its record names the gene U4. It matches the Rfam family "U4 spliceosomal RNA". Rfam says of the family: U4 small nuclear RNA (U4 snRNA) is a component of the major U2-dependent spliceosome. The record is from Ensembl. NCBI's taxonomy places the organism in Eukaryota, Metazoa, Chordata, Mammalia, Rodentia, Bathyergidae.
AGCUUUGCGCAGUGGCAGUAUCGUAGCCAAUGAGGUUUAUCCGAGGCGCGAUUAUUGCUAAUUAAAAUGCAGGUUCAGCUUCAGUGGUUCUGGGUGGGGCUUGUGUUUCUGACGACUCCAUACCAAGCUCGUAAGUGGGGCCACUAUCAAUGGUCCAUGGGGACACUCUUGAAUAGCCAUGGAAGAAUUCAGAUGAUCUGGC